This is a long non-coding RNA of Dermochelys coriacea (leatherback sea turtle), 510 nucleotides long. RefSeq lists it as uncharacterized. The transcript is spliced from 5 exons. The record is from RefSeq and is a predicted model, not a curated record. Lineage: Eukaryota; Metazoa; Chordata; Testudines; Dermochelyidae.
GCUUGACGUUUUUGCUCCCUCCUGCUUCACAAGUAUUUCAAGGCAAUAUUUCUGUAGCAGAAGGAGGCAAAAGAAAACUACUGUAAGCAAAAGCUACAGGUUUGAGCCUAAUUCAACACUAAAACAAAGAAAACCAACUACCCUCUCCUAACACCUUUAAUGAAAGACAAUACAGUCAAUCUAGGAUUUAGUUAAAAUAAGAAAUAAUACUUUGCAAGUCUGUUACGAACAAGUACUUUACAAACGUUUUAACCUCCCAUAUCCAUCUGUAUGCAUUAGGUAAAUCGUAUUAUUCUCAUUUUGUAGGUAAGGAAAUAAGAUUUACAGCUGUAAAUGACUUGCCUAACAUGUCACACAGGGAAAAUUGAGGUAGAGUUUAAUAAUAAUAAUAAUAAUUUAUGAGUAUGCUACUCCAUUGAACUAAUCAACCUGAUCCUUUGGCUCUAGCAGUAGAGGCUCCUGCUUUUAAAUUCAGAGGUUCUAGCAGUAGAGGCUCCCACUUUUCAAUUC